RNAcentral lists this ribosomal RNA (253 nucleotides) under uncultured bacterium. RNAcentral's name for it is "partial 16S ribosomal RNA". It matches the Rfam family "Bacterial small subunit ribosomal RNA", at positions 524 to 776 of the family's 1533-position model. The record is from RNAcentral.
UACAGAGGGUGCAAGCGUUAAUCGGAAUUACUGGGCGUAAAGCGUGCGUAGACGGUUAUGUAAGUCGGGUGUGAAAUCCCCGGGCUCAACCCGGGAACUGCGUCCGAUACUGGAAGGCUUGAAUCCGGGAGAGGGAUGUGGAAUUCCAGGUGUAGCGGUGAAAUGCGUAGAUAUCUGGAGGAACACCGGUGGCGAAGGCGGGUCUCUGGACAGUUCCUGACGCUGAGGCACGAAGGUCAGGGGAGCAAACGGG